GUUGAAUCGGCUCAGUGCCGAUCCAUGUACAAAACAGAUCACACCAGGUAGAGAGAGUGAGAGCACAUCUUACUGCUGAUCGGAAAAAGUUCUAUGAAUAUAUAAUAGAGAGGUCGCAGUUUCAUUAAUCAGGUUUCCUGUGUAUCUUGUGAGGAGUGUGAAACCUUAGAUGGCGAGCCAACCAACUGGAUCUUCUGGAGUCUCUGCGAACUUGAACUUCAAAUCCUGAGAAACAUUAUGUGGUAGGACAGUUACCAACAAAGAAUCUUACAGACAUUGGAGGACAUUUUUUUUUUUAUUUAGGCCACUUUUGAAAGACUGCCGAACUGUCGUGCACAAUACACAUACACUGAUAAACACACACCAACAUUAGUUUAAAAAGGGGUUUUAUUCAUUUUAUUUGUACGCCGGCUACAUUCUAUUGUGACUUUGUACAAUAUAAUUUUCCUACUAAAUUUACAUUGAAACUGUUACAGUGAAUCUGUCCAUUCAUUUGUGUUGCAAUGUCUGAAACUCUUAUGAACUUAGAGUUGUGUAUUUACCUACAGGUGGGUUACAAAAUGAUUAACUGUUUAUCAGCAAACGUGACCAACUCUAUAAAAGCAGAUGUUUUGGCAGUUUGCUGCUCUGGAGCCCUCAGUGAGAGAGAU
Long non-coding RNA from Ctenopharyngodon idella (grass carp), 650 nucleotides. RefSeq lists it as uncharacterized. The record is from RefSeq and is a predicted model, not a curated record. NCBI's taxonomy places the organism in Eukaryota, Metazoa, Chordata, Actinopteri, Cypriniformes, Xenocyprididae. The transcript has 3 exons.